AUGGCCUGAAUUUACAAAGGAUCAUUUUCAAUGAUAUGGAUACCAUGUGUUUCAGUAAAAUGAAAUCUGGAGAUCCUAAGUGAAACUAAUAUUUCUCAAAGCAUUGGGUAAAAGCCAUCUAAAAGAAUAAAUCAGUUUAUGAUCAUGGAGCACUCUGAGAACAGGAAGGCUCAUUUUCCCUUGAAUAAGUCACAGAAUGGAACAAAGUGUCCGUUACAUAUAAUUCUCUUCAUCUUAAAUCUACCCUGGCUAUUGGCACCUUGGUUGGCACAAAGGCCACGAAACUGCUGAAUUGAAACUGAAAUGUCAAUUUGGGGACUUGAUUUCUAUUGCAUGUAUCUUGAACCAACAGUACUUAACUCAUGAGAUUGAAGGAAUUUAUUCUCCAAAGUGUUAAUGUUUUGCUCAUUCUUCAUUAAACCUUUGUUUUAAUUGCA
This is a long non-coding RNA of Ornithorhynchus anatinus (platypus), 437 nucleotides long. RefSeq lists it as uncharacterized. The record is from RefSeq and is a predicted model, not a curated record. The transcript has 4 exons. NCBI's taxonomy places the organism in Eukaryota, Metazoa, Chordata, Mammalia, Monotremata, Ornithorhynchidae.